GAAAAAUGCAGUAAAAUAUACCCCCAAACCCUGAGUUUUUUUGCUUUAAAUUGCGCAUGCGUCAGCCCGCGUUUUUGAGUGAGUGUGGGCGACGCUGGAUCCUCUCUCUGGCUGCCAUCGAACAGCAGAAGUGAAGAACAUGUUUGAAGCUUUUCAAAAACUUUUUUUGGAAAUUGAUGGGGCAAAACUACUGAAAAAGGUCCACAGCCUCAAAAAUAAGCUCAUGCAGUAAACACACAUUUCCCCUGUUGUUCGAAGAGGAUCUUUUGUCUGGACAUACUUUUAAUGGAGUUGUAAUGUAGUGUAGUUUUAUAUUUUUCUUCUUUUCCCUUAUUUGCUCCAGACACAGAUCCAUCCACUCUCUCUCAGCCCACUCCAUUGCUCUGUGAUUUCCCCUAGAUUGACAGAAAAGGAAUACCAAUAGAAAGUUGCCGGAAGAAUUUUGAUCUCUCCUUCUACCCUCCCCCCAUUUGAGAGUGAGAGCAAGCUCAAAAACUAAAGAAUGUUGGUGUUCUGUUUUA
Long non-coding RNA from Cyprinus carpio carpio, 521 nucleotides. Lineage: Eukaryota; Metazoa; Chordata; Actinopteri; Cypriniformes; Cyprinidae. The record is from Ensembl.